GCGGAAGGAUUCAGUCGGACGGGGAAGCCGCGUAGAUGCCGUACUCAUCAGGUUCCGGGACCGGACCGCACGGCGUGAGCACAGCUGUUCCUUACGACGCAUUUGUUUUCCGCCCGAAGGACGCCGCAACCGGUUGGGAGACGGCCUGAAAGUGGGGCGACGGAAGGUGGCCGGUGGCGUGCCUCGUGCGCGUCGCCGGUGUUAAUCCUGUCCUUCGUACGGCUCGUAUCCCGACCGUGGUGUCGCGAGGCCCGCUCAUGGGCUUCACCGUCUCCUCUCGUAAAAGAUGCGCACUUAGAUGUGGCAGUGGCUCUUCACGGCAGCAGGCGCACGGACUGACUUCGUGGCCAGCAGCUUGGAGUCCACGUUGGCCGCGCGUGAUGCGUUUGGAGGCUGGCGGUUAGCGGCGAGUAGAUCGGUCACCCAUCCGACCCGUCUUGAAACACGGACCAAGGAGUCUAACAUGUGUGCGAGUCAAUGGGACUCGAAUAAGCCCAGAGGCGCAAUGAAAGCAAAGGCUGGACUCGAUUCCGGCCGAGUUGGGAUCCCCGGGCCUACGAGCUCGGGGCGCACCAACGACCCGUCCUAUCCGAUUCAUCGGUUGGCCGGAGUCUGAGCAUGCACGUUGGGACCCGAAAGAUGGUGACCUAUGCCCGGGCAGGACGAGGCCAGAGGAAACUCUGGUGAAGGUCCGCA
RNAcentral lists this ribosomal RNA (696 nucleotides) under Anelosimus kohi. RNAcentral's name for it is "eukaryotic LSU rRNA". The stretch from base 449 to 696 matches the Rfam family "Eukaryotic large subunit ribosomal RNA", at positions 665 to 879 of the family's 3401-position model. The record is from RNAcentral. Lineage: Eukaryota; Metazoa; Arthropoda; Arachnida; Araneae; Theridiidae.